AAUGGGCGGAAGCCUGAACCAGCCAUGCCGCGUGCAGGAAGAAUGCCCUACGGGUUGUAAACUGCUUUUCCCCGGGAAGAAUAAGGCCCCUGCGGGGGCCGAUGCCGGUACCGGGGGAAUAAGGAUCGGCUAACUCCGUGCCAGCAGCCGCGGUAAUACGGAGGAUGCAAGCGUUAUCCGGAUUUAUUGGGUUUAAAGGGUGCGUAGGCGGACUUGUAAGUCAGUGGUGAAAGUUUGCAGCUUAACUGUAAAAUUGCCGUUGAAACUGCGGGGCUUGAGUGCAAAUGAGGUAGGCGGAAUGUGUCGUGUAGCGGUGAAAUGCAUAGAUAUAACACAGAACUCCGAUUGCGAAGGCAGCUUACUGGGAUGCAACUGACGCUGAUGCACGAAAGCGUGGGUAUCAAA
This 405-nucleotide ribosomal RNA is filed under the name uncultured bacterium. RNAcentral describes it as "bacterial SSU rRNA". It matches the Rfam family "Bacterial small subunit ribosomal RNA", at positions 370 to 772 of the family's 1533-position model. The record is from RNAcentral.